CUUUCUUCCAUGUGCACAUGCUGAUUUCUCAACCUGGAAUCCUUUCCCUACACCUUUCCUCAAAGGACUGUUAAUGAGUGUUCAGAGGUACUUCAUUGAAAUGUAACUACCACAAUGCAUCCCUUCCACGUGACUAACUUCGCUCAUGGACCAGAAUCACUGCGGCUCUGCCCUGGAGUGGUGCAAAGAGCUCGCAUUCUGUUUGGAAAGCAAAUUAUUUAAAUCCAGUAGAGGACUCUCAAAUGUGGUUGGAAAAUCUAAGAAGACUUCCCAGAGGCAGCAGCACUAG
RNAcentral lists this long non-coding RNA (289 nucleotides) under Gorilla gorilla gorilla (western lowland gorilla). RNAcentral's name for it is "lncRNA (ENSGGOG00000044702.1)". Lineage: Eukaryota; Metazoa; Chordata; Mammalia; Primates; Hominidae. The record is from RNAcentral.